CCGGCGACCUAAGGGGCUCUGGGGGAUCCGGUGCCGCUUCCCCUAAGCAGAGAGUGCACUUGAGCACCAUCGGUCACCUGUUGCCCUGGCCCCCCACCGCCCAUCCCUGGAGCCCUGCGAACCCUGCCCUGGGGCCCUGUCCCAACUGGGCCGGGAGAGUACCGGGCCCUGGGCAAAUGACCUGGGGGUCAGGUAGGCCUGGGAACCCCAGACAGCACCAAUGUUUUGUGGGCUGGCAGGCACAGGGGACUCCAAAGUGAAGUGCAAUUGCAUCACUGUCUACACCCUAAAAAAUGUGGCACAACUUGAUGUGGUGGGGGGGGGGUCCCCGAAAGCAGGUCCCUGCCUGAAGUUAGUACGGUGCCUGGUGCCCAACACAGAGUGGGCAAAGGGAGCGGUCACUGAUCCAAAACCUUUGUCCUGAGUUCUGUCCUCAGCCCUUUCUUGCAGGUGGGUGAUUGGGGUUCAGCAGAGCCUUCCCAGCCGCUCCCCUCUGACCUCCUGCAAGGAUUUGAUGCACUGAGUAUCCCUGCUGUCUGUUCAGAUGGAGUACUGGAAGACCCCUGAGCCUACCACCUUUGUUGAUUAUGACCCUCAGAGCCCUCUGUGUGAGAAUGAGUACAUUGAUUUGCGCAACUUGGACAAUGUCCUGCCCUUGGUAAUACUGUUGCUCACCCUGCUGCUCAACCUGGUGGUCAACAGCCUGGUGCUGCGAGCACUGGUGAUGUACAAUGGCCUUCAGUCAUUCACCACAUUCUUCUUCUUUAACCUGUGCGUGUCGGACCUGGUGUCCUCGUUCCUGCUGCUGCUGUGGGUGUUUAGAGAGCACUGGAGCUUGGUCCUGUGCAAGGCAGUCAGAAUGACCUUCUCUCUCGGACUCUACAGCAACAUGUUCGUCCCCACCAUCAUGACGCUUUACCUGUCAGUGGUGAGACCCCAGUGCAUGCCACUUGACCUCAACCUGCGCUGCCGCGUGCUGCUGGCUGCAGCCAUGUGGGUGGCCAGUGUCCUAUCUUCCAUCCCCGAUGCCAUCUUCUUUGAAGUAAUUGAUGAUCAGUGUACAUACUCAGGAACCCUGGGCCUGCAGGUCUCUGUGUACGUGCACAACUUCAUGUUCCUGCUGUCCAUGGUGACCAUCUUCUUCUGCUACAGGCAGACCCGCAGGACCCUUUUUACUUCCAUGUCCAGGGGUCAGCGCCAGCUCAUCUUGGCCAUCAUGGUGGUCUUUGUCCUCAUCUGGGCCCCCUACAACCUCAUCCUGUUCCUGCAGAUAUUGGUGAACAUUGGGGUCAUCCAGAGCUGCAAGACCAGGCUGCUGCUGGACUGGGCCUUGACUUUUUUCGAGACCCUCCCCUUCCUACAGCUGUUUCUUCACCUACUGCUCUACUGCCACUUUGUCAAGUUCCACACAGACUUCAGAAAUCUCUGCCAGCGUUGUGUGUGCAGUUGUGUAAACUACAGGUGCCCAGCCCUGCCAUGCUGCCCCAGUCUCCGGUCACCUUCACCUAUGAGAGUCCCUCCUAGUACUUAGGAGAGUGACAGCACAUGUGCAGCUGGACAGGGCACCCACAGAGGGACAGGGGGAUGUGAACCAGGAAGGAACAGUGCAGCAGAGAUGGCACCACUCACUGAGGGGAUAGAAGAAGGACGUGGGACCUGAGGGCCCCUCCGAGGGAAAGUUGCACCCACCUGGGAUUGAUCCUGCCACACGGGACAACACUCUUCAGGCACAGUCAUUCGGUCACAUAGUAUUCAUCCUUGCUGGGGCUGCAGCUCUCCAAAGAAAAAUGGCUCACAGAUAAAGGGCCUCUUUCCAGCCUUAAUGGGGUUAAGGGUCUGCCGCACCGGGGGUGUGAUCAGGGUACAAUUCAGGGAGCUUCCCUGACAGCCUUCCCUCCCUGGUCUCACUGGGCCCAGCUCAUCUAUCCCCUUCAGAGGGGACUCAGUGACUGCUGUGGAGGCUGCCCAAAAGGCAAGAGUGACCACCUCCUCCAAGAAGUACAGCAAACCCUGACCCUGAAGCCUCUAACAAGACUGAAGCUGAUUCUGUGACCUGGCUCCAGAAGGUGCCAUGGACACUGGCCUCACCUCUGCAGCUUGUGAGAUUCCACUGCAGGGGUAAGCACCAUUGGUGCUGCCUUUCGCACUGAGUCUAUUUGGAGGAUCCAGAGACAAUCAGGAUUCGGUUCUCACUCCGAAUGCCAACAGCACAGCCUGGAGGUCUGGGAGGUUUCUCCUGCAAUGUGCCAUCCCUUGCAGAUGCAGAUUCGCUGACUUGGUCACUUUCCCUUGUCAUGGUUUAUGUUGUGUCCCCCAGGCCUCAUGAGUUUGCAUUGUUCAUUUGUGAUGGUUCAUUGUAUAGUGCUUGGAUUGAUGGUGUCAGUGCUCCACCCACAUAGGGGUGGAGCCAGGAUGUGAUGUAAUGGCAGGAAGAAGGUAUGUCUUUCUCUUUGCUGUUUCCAGCUCGCUGUGGGCAGCCACCAUGAACUGCGGUCCAGCCAUGCCCGCCUGUCUUGGAGCCAACUGAGUGUGGACUGAAACCUCCAAAAACUGGAGCUGCUGAAGCUGGACAUUGAUCACCUGUGUGGGGCUAGAGCAAGGCCAGCCCUGAAAACACAGAGAGCUCAAAACAAGCGAUGUAAACAAGCUGUUCUGGCUCCAAGAAGGCCAGGGCCCAGGCCAGCCAGGCACACAAGUUGCUAGGCAGUGGAUUGACAUGGACGUCCUCCUGCUGAGUGUAUAAAUAAACCUGGUGCAGUGGCUGAGCAGCUCCUUCUCUCCCAUCAGGAGAGUAAGGGCUUCACCUGACCCUAGCUUUUGUCUUUUA
Molecule: RNA transcript, 2827 nt
Organism: Cavia porcellus (domestic guinea pig)
Lineage: Eukaryota; Metazoa; Chordata; Mammalia; Rodentia; Caviidae
Gene name: chemokine XC receptor 1-like
Exons: 3
Source: RefSeq, a predicted model, not a curated record